Molecule: ribosomal RNA, 446 nt
Filed under: uncultured bacterium
Lineage: Bacteria
Description: partial 16S ribosomal RNA
Rfam family: Bacterial small subunit ribosomal RNA
Source: RNAcentral
CCUACGGGAGGCAGCAGUAGGGAAUUUUCGGCAAUGGGGGGAACCCUGACCGAGCCACGCCGCGUGAACGAAGAAGUUAUUCGUAAUGUAAAGUUCUUUUAACAGGGAAGAAAGAGAAAUUUGACGGUACCUGACGAAUAAGCUCCGGCUAACUACGUGCCACCAGCUGCGGUAAUGCGUAGGGAGCGAGCGUUAUCCGGAAUUCUUGGGCGAAAAGGGAGAGAAGAGGGAAUAGAAAGUCUUUGGUAAAAAUGCUGGGCCAAACCCAGUAGGGCAAAAGAAACUGCAAAGCUAGAGUAUGACAGAGGGAAGUGGAACUACAAGUGUAGCGGUGAAAUGCGUAGAGAUAUGGAGGAACACCAGUGGCGAAGGCGGCUUCCUGGGUAGAGACUGACGUUGAGGCACGAAAGCGUGGGGAGCAAACAGGAUUAGAUACCCCAGUAGUC